CCUACGGGAGGCUGCAGUCGAGAAUCAUUCACAAUGGGGGAAACCCUGAUGGUGCGAUGCCGCGUGGGGGAAUGAAGGUCUUCGGAUUGUAAACCCCUGUCAUGUGGGAGCAAAUUAACAAGAUAGUACCACAAGAGGAAGAGACGGCUAACUCUGUGCCAGCAGCCGCGGUAAUACAGAGGUCUCAAGCGUUGUUCGGAAUCACUGGGCGUAAAGCGUGCGUAGGCUGUUUCGUAAGUCGUGUGUGAAAGGCGCGGGCUCAACCCGCGGACGGCACAUGAUACUGCGAGACUAGAGUAAGGGAGGGGGAACCGGAAUUCUCGGUGUAGCAGUGAAAUGCGUAGAUAUCGAGAGGAACACUCGUGGCGAAGGCGGGUUCCUGGACAUUAACUGACGCUGAGGCACGAAGGCCAGGGGAGCGAAAGGGAUUAGAUACCCGGGUAGUC
RNAcentral lists this ribosomal RNA (446 nucleotides) under uncultured bacterium. RNAcentral's name for it is "partial 16S ribosomal RNA". It matches the Rfam family "Bacterial small subunit ribosomal RNA", at positions 338 to 795 of the family's 1533-position model. The record is from RNAcentral.